RNAcentral lists this transfer RNA (84 nucleotides) under candidate division SR1 bacterium Aalborg_AAW-1. RNAcentral describes it as "tRNA-Leu". It matches the Rfam family "tRNA". Rfam says of the family: Transfer RNA (tRNA) molecules are approximately 80 nucleotides in length. Their secondary structure includes four short double-helical elements and three loops (D, anti-codon, and T loops). Lineage: Bacteria; Candidatus Absconditibacteriota. The record is from RNAcentral.
UGCCGGGGUGAUGGAAUUGGUAGACAUGCUUGGCUUAGAACCAAGUGCUUUACGGUGUGCAGGUUCAAGUCCUGUCCCCGGUAA